GCAAGGUGAUGUCUCUGCUUUUUAAGAUGCUGUCGAGGUUUGUCAUUGCUUUUCAAACCUAGACAGCAUCUUAAAAAGCAGAGACAUCACCUUGC
Molecule: non-coding RNA, 95 nt
Organism: Podarcis lilfordi (Lilford's wall lizard)
Lineage: Eukaryota; Metazoa; Chordata; Lepidosauria; Squamata; Lacertidae
Source: the annotation of a GenBank genome assembly